AGGCCAGAGGACCCCCUUAAAAAGCCGCGCUGAUACGCCCCGGGGACGACCUCCUUUGGGCCCUCGGAUUGGGCCCACGAACCCAGACUGGGCUUUCCCAUUGGUGGGUGGCGCUGUCAGUGGGCCCCCGAGCUCCGCGCACAGCUUGCUGGGAGUUGUAGGACGAGGCGUCUUCCUCGUCCGGGAGGCUUCGGACGUGCCAACAGACGACGUUUCUGCUCAGCCGGCUUCUUUUGUUAUUUUUAUUUAAUGAACAUGCCAGCUUGCAAGAUUAAUCAUGGAAAUUUGGAUUUAGAAGAGACCCUUUGUCUGGAAUACAUUUGCCCCCAGAUAUCUUCUUGGCUUGUUUCCUAUCAGAAUGGUGUACUUGAGGUUGGACAAGAAUGACCGUAUAAACUGGUCUCAGAAGACAUUUUGGAUCAACUGGAAAAGGCUUCACUUCAGCAGAUCACAGUCCUCUUCUGAAGUCUCAGAGGUAGUCCCAGAAGGACUGUUGGGAACACAACAAGGUGGCGUCGCCAGAGCCGGUGGGAGAGGCUUGCGAUUCCACUGGCAGCCCCUCAGUGACCCAGGGAGAGGCUGUGGUGGGAAAGGGCCCCAAGUGUAACUGAGGCAGUAUUGCAGUCUCCUCCAGGGAGAAGAGCCGUCCUCACAGAUAGCUGCAAACCCGCAGGAGCAACGAAGCUGAACGCUCCCAAGGACUCCUCAUAUUUUAAUACAUAUAAUUACAUGAUGGCCAAUAUUUAUAUUAUAUUUUAAGCCUCUGAUAGCGCUUUUACACAUGACCAGACUCUUUCAGAAAUAGUAUGGGUUGUGAUGAUAGAUUUGAGCUUGAAUUCUGGUUCAACCUGUUGGCUAUGUGAUCUUAAAUAAGUUACUUAACCUCUCAGGACCUGUUUUCUCCUCUGUAAAAUGGUGAUGGUGAUGGUGAUGGGGCAAGGUGAUACCUGCCAUAUAGGAUAAGGCUUGAAUGAGAAAAAAGACCUAGUCUGACAUUUGACACAUAGGAGGCGCUCGAUUUCCUUUCCUUCUCUAAAGGUACCUGUUUGCCUCAGUUGACCUCAAGACUUCCACAAUAGUCCCCUGUGUAUAAAGGUAACAUAUUCUCUUCAAAUCUGUCUCAUGUCACACAGUGAUUCCUCACUGCAGUGAUGGGAAGGAGGUAGUGAUGUCUGUAUUGUUAAAAAGCCCCACCACCCCCUGCCCCCAGACUUCCCUGCUGAGAAUCCCUGGUCUACACUUUGAUAUCCCAAGUAUCUCUCAGUAGUUUAAUAUUUUUGUUUGAUAUUUUCAAUCACGGCUUUAUUUCAAUAAAGUAAGGACUUGCCUUCAUGGGAGGGCAAGACAUUAAGCUAAUGAAGAAGGUAGUCCAUAAAUUAUGUAUAGCUAGGUGCCAGGAAGCAUUUUCUUUCUUGGGCAGUGGUAGGUGGGGCAGUUAAUGGAAAGAAUGGUGGAAACACAGAGAGUAUUCAGGGCCUACAGGAGGGUUGACUGGGCCAUGUGGGAGAAAAUGGAUAAAAGGGAAGGGAGAGGAAACUGAAGACAAUUAUUAUUUUUCUCCUAGAUCCUCAUUUAGCAGGCUGUGACUUGGCUUCUUCUGGGGCACCACUGCCUCUCAAUAGAAGCUGUUAUGUGUAUGCUGUAACCCUGUCAUACUUCUAGUCUCACCUACCCUAGGUGUGAGGCCUGGACCCACCACUGGAGUCCUAUAUGGCUACCUGAACCAACUCAUCAAAGUCAUAUUACGUACCAUAAGGUCCUGGAAUUGUAUCUGUCAAAACCUAAUUCGUUCUCUCUAGAAUGACACAUAAGUAGUUACAAAUAACAUUUGGUAACUGCAGAUAUAGAGGGCAAAGAGAAGGGAAAUGCUCUCACUCUGCUAUGAACUGCUCACAGGCUAGAUUAACUGAGCAUCACUUUUGGCUUCUUCUAAAGAAGGGAGAUAUUCAUAAAGUUCUUAUUUGAAAUGUUGUUUAGAGUUUUGGGUAAGGGAUCUUCUGAUUGAAAAUGCUAAGGACACUCCUUAGGCAGGAUGUUUAGAUUUGAACUGAAGAGACAAGGUAAUGCUGAAGGUCAAGUUAUGACUUUGAGCAGCCACAGACAUAUCAUUUUCUGGGGGAGCCAGACCUUUCAGUAGACACAGGGGCUCCUGUAGUGGUAAGUGCAGAGCCCCCUUCUAGGCUGCGAUUUAACUGCUUUGUCCCAGCAAACGCCAUCAGGAAAACAAGGCUUCUUGGGUGUAUCUGUUUGACCCUCUUCUAAGAGUAGACUUCCAAGGGCUACCUGCCUGGACCCCCAUCCUUAUUUUGUCAUCAUCUUCAAGGGAGUCCAAGCACACAGCAGUGAAAACCAUGCUAAAUUGCAUGCAUAGACCAAAGACAAGAGUAAAAUCAUGUUAUGUAGAACUGCUCAGAAACAGCUUCAUGGGGAAAGAAUUUUGCUGGAGGGUAGGUAGAAUUUAAAGAAAGACAGGAGAGAGCAUAGCUAAGGCUCUAUUUUUGUGACAGUUAAUUCUCAUUCAUGGUUUUCAUACUGGAACUCCUGGAGAUGACUGACGUGAAAGAGGAAAUAGGACAAAGUCAGAAGGAGCAGGGGCUCAGGCACAUGGUAAGACAGUCUGGAUUAGAACAGCCAGUUGGAUGUGUGGAGACUUCAUCAGCCGGAGGGAGAUUGGGAAUUCCGUUCCAUCAACAGAACUGAAACAUACCACAUAUGCCAUCAAGCAGAAGCUUUAUUAUGCAAUAGUGAACUGUGCACACCCUUUCCCCAAUUAAUAAUGCACAGAUUGAGGUCACUGUGCACCGAAAACAAAUCUUCAGACAACCUGGGGAUAGCUGGGAGCUGAUACUGCACCUUGAAAUUGGACUUGUUCGGUCAAAUGUGUAACACUUCUGAAACUUUUUAGCCGUUGGCAUCCAGGUUUGAGCUUCCCCAAAUGUUUGUGGUGUGCAUCAUAUUCUGGUUCUUUCACUUUAGCUGAUACAAUACUGUUGUCUAAUGCAUCUGCCGUGUGCUCAUGGACAAGGCCAAAGAAUUAACCUGGGUUGGGAAUGUUUAUGCUCUCACAGUUUGCUUUUUCAAUUUGGUUCAGCAUUGGUCCCUUCUUGUAAAAGGCCAAUUAGGACCAAGCUGGAAAUACAGCAGGGAAGAGUUGUUCUGAAAGUCCCCGAGAAUUUGUCCUUUGGCAAUUAAAUUUUCUAUAGAUUUUUAUCCCUCUACCAACUAUCAGUGCAAUUUUUGGCAAGUCACAUAACCUGAGGCCAUGACACACACUUCACCCUGGGCCUCUGGGUCUUCAUCUGAAAAGUGAAAGGACUAGGCAAGAUGAUUUUGAGGUCCUUCACCUCUAAGAUUUGAGAAUUUGACAAUUCCUGAAUAGUAAACAUCAGAUUUUUUGACACUAGA
This is a long non-coding RNA of Leptonychotes weddellii (Weddell seal), 3405 nucleotides long. RefSeq lists it as uncharacterized. The record is from RefSeq and is a predicted model, not a curated record. Lineage: Eukaryota; Metazoa; Chordata; Mammalia; Carnivora; Phocidae.